UUCCAAUUAACAAUCCUAACUCACACUGGUACCUAUCGGUUGUCAAUGCGAAAAAACGUGAGAUACAGGUACUCGACUCACGUGGUAGAACAGACCGGACUGAACUCAAUACUACGUUGAAAGGACUUAAGAAGCAUCUGGACAUUGCAUCCAAAAGGAAGGGGUUUAACAGAGGUGUGAAGUGGCAAGAUCUCGACGUUACAACAUGGCAAGUCGUAGAAGAGUUUCAGGAGGAUAUGCAGAGUGAUGGCUCAUCAUGCGGGCUGUUCAUGCUUAAUUACAUGGAAUAUUGGACAGGAGAAAUGAUGUCAGACAGUGUCACAC
Triticum dicoccoides is the source of this 324-nucleotide long non-coding RNA. RefSeq lists it as uncharacterized. Lineage: Eukaryota; Viridiplantae; Streptophyta; Magnoliopsida; Poales; Poaceae. The record is from RefSeq and is a predicted model, not a curated record. The transcript has 3 exons.